CCCUUAGAUGUUCUGGGCCGCACGCGUGCUACACUGAGUGGAUCAGCGGGUCAGGUUGCGCGAAAGCGUUUCCUAAUCUUGAAAUCCGCUCGUGAUGGGGAUUGACGGUUGCAAUUUUCCGUCAUGAACGAGGAAUACCUUGUAAGCGCGGGUCAUCAUCCCGCGCUGAAUACGUCCCUGCCCUUUGUACACACCGCCCGUCGCUCCUACCGAUUGAGUGGUCCGGUGAGGCUUUGGGAUCUGAGCAAAGAGAGCGUUUCGCUCGUUUUGCUCGGAAAACUCAGUCGAACCUUAUCAUUUAGAGGAAGGAGAAGUCGUAACA
RNAcentral lists this ribosomal RNA (322 nucleotides) under uncultured eukaryote. RNAcentral describes it as "partial 18S ribosomal RNA". It matches the Rfam family "Eukaryotic small subunit ribosomal RNA", at positions 1470 to 1796 of the family's 1831-position model. The record is from RNAcentral.